Molecule: ribosomal RNA, 488 nt
Filed under: uncultured bacterium
Lineage: Bacteria
Description: bacterial SSU rRNA
Rfam family: Bacterial small subunit ribosomal RNA
Source: RNAcentral
AGAGUUUGAUUAUGGCUCAGGACGAACGCUGGCGGCGUGCUUAACACAUGCAAGUCGAACGGGAGUAUUGAAGAAGCUUGCUUAGAGAUACUUUAGUGGCGGACGGGUGAGUAACGCGUGAGGAGCUGUCCUAUGCAGGGGGACAACAGCUGGAAACGGCUGCUAAUACCCCAUAAGCCGAGAGGUAAAAGGAUCAAUCCGGCAGAGGAGGUACUCGCGUCCUAUCAGCUAGUAGGUGAGGUAACGGCUCACCUAGGCGAAGACGGGGUAGCCGGCCUGAGAGGGCGAACGGCCACACUGGAACUGAGAUACGGUCCAGACUCCUACGGGAGGCAGCAGUGGGGAAUAUUGGGCAAUGGGGGGAAACCCUGACCCAGCGACGCCGCGUGGGUGAAGAAAUCCUUCGGGAUGUAAAGCCCUGUUGUAUGGGAAGAGCGGAAGACGGUACCAUACGAGGAAGCCCCGGCAAACUACGUGCCAGCCGCGGC